This 4887-nucleotide long non-coding RNA is filed under the name Equus caballus (horse). RNAcentral's name for it is "lncRNA (ENSECAG00000058611.1)". Lineage: Eukaryota; Metazoa; Chordata; Mammalia; Perissodactyla; Equidae. The record is from RNAcentral.
AGUAAAUAAUAGAGUAAAAGAAAUAUUAAUCUGAACUAUAUUAUUAUAAGUUAAUUUGAUAACUAUCAUUCUCAGGGCAACCACAAAGAAAAUAACUCAAAAAUAUAUAGUAAAAGAAAUGACAUAGGAAUUAAAUUGACGCACUAGAAAACAUCUAUUUAAAACAAAAGAAAAGAGUAAUGGAGGAAUUGAAAGGGAAAAAAAGGUAUGACGUAUAGAAAAUAUACAGCAAAAAGGCAGAAGUAAUUCUUUCUUAUCAGUAAUUAGACUAAAUGUAAAUCUAUGAAACUGUCUAUUUAAAAGUCAGAGAUUGGCAGAAUGGAUUUCAAAACAAUAUCCAACUAUAUGCUAUCUACAACUGUCUCACUUUACAUUCAAAGACACAAAGAGUUUAAAGUAAAAGGAUGGAAAAAGGAAUUCCAUGCAAACAGUAACCAAAUGAGAGCCGGAGUGACUAUGCUAAUAUCAGACAAAAUAGACUUUAAGACAAAAAUUGUUAUAAAAGACAAAGAAGGACAUUGCAUAAUGAAAAGAGUCAACACUUCAAGAAAACAUCACAAGUAUAAAUAUACAUGCACUUAACAUCAGAGUCCCAAAAUAUAUGAAGCAUAGCUGACACCAUUGAAAGAAAGGACAAUUCAGCAACACUAGUUGGAAACUUUAAUAUCCCAUUUCCAUUAAUAUAUAGAAAAUCAACAAGAAAAUAGCAAACUGAACAACAUUAUACAGCAAGACCUAACACACAUCUACAGAUCACUUCAGACAAUAAUAGCAGAAUACACAUUCUUAUAAAGUGUGCAUGAAACAUUCUCCAAGAUAAACCACACAUUAGGUCACAAAAUAGUUUUGAUAAAUUUAAAAUGAUUGAAAUAAUUCACAGUACGUUUUCUAAUCACAAGGGGAGGAAAUUAGAAAUCAACAACAGAAUAAAAUUUGGAAAAUUAACAAAUGCUAAAUAACCAAUGGGAUGAAGAAGAAAUCAGAAGGGAAAUUAGGAAAUAUUCUGAGAUGAAUGAAAAUAACAAUAUACCAAAACUUAUGGAACACAGAAAAAGCAAUGCUCAACUAGAAAUUAAUAGCUGUUAAAGCCUACAUUAAAACAAUUUCAAGCAAUAACCUAAACUUUCACCUUAAGAAACUAGAAAAAGAACAACUAAGCCCAAGCAAGCAGAUGGAAGGAAAUAAUAGAGACUAGAGCAUAAAUAAACAGAAUAAGAACAGAAAAUCAAUAGAACCAACAAAACCAAAAGUAGUUCUUUGAAAAAGAAGGGAUCCCCAAAAUGAUAGGAGUAAUUCUUUCUCAUUCCUGACUUUAGUAAUUUGAGUCUUCUCUCUUUUUUUUUUCUUUUCUAGUCUGGUAAAUGGUUUGUCAAUUUUGUUUUCACAUUGAGAUAUAGAUCUUUGGCAUUUUAGGAAAUCAUUACAUUCCUCCCAAAUAAAACCUGACCUAUGAGGUCUGGUGAAGCUGAUUAGAACAAUGCUCUCAAACAAUCUAUGGUGAAGGAUUAAUUAAAAAAUGUUUUUUUCCUAAUAUGUUGUGGAUCAGUACUUCUGUAAAAUACAAUAAAAACAAAUUACUGGAAAAAUGAAAUAAAAAGCAUUGAAAUACUACCUAAUUUUUUAUUAUUCUAUUCCACAGACAUAGAAUUACUCUUUGAAAUUUCUAUAAAAGUUCUUAAACACUUACUCUCAAUUUCUUAUCUCAUUGUGGACCAGAACACAACACAGUCCACAGGCCAGCACUUUGGGAUGCACUGGUCUAGUAGCAUUCUCAUUUUUCCCCACAGAUCCAUACCUUUUGAGUGAUCCAGUCAGAGAAUAGAUAGCAUCACCUUUCACACUAAUGCUGAACACCAGCUUUAAGAGAACUAUCCUAUUCUCCCUUAUCUGGAGCAAGCGAGGAGUUGAAGGUUUUAAUUCCAAAGCUGAAUAUAGAGUAGUAGUAAGUAGAAAAAAGAACUGCAUUAAAAAUAAACAGAGUUGGUGGCAGUCAGUCUAAUGAAAAUAAGGUUUCAGUUGUUUUACUCUGAGCAUAUAAUUAAAAAUUUACUGCCAAUAAUAUUUUCUAAUCAUGUCACACUACAGUUGAUUUAAAGUCUUUUCUAUAAAUCCAAUGCCUGGACUUCCUCAAGGAUGGUUUCUGUCAAUUUCUUUCUUUCCUGUGAAUUGGCCAUACUUUCUUGUUUCUUUGUAUGCCUUGUAAUUUUUUGUUGAAAAGUGAACAUCUGAAUAUUGUAAUGUGGUAACUCUGUAAAUCAGAUUCUCCCCCCAUCAAAGGUUUGCUCUUGUUGAUUGUUAAGGGAUGGAGUUAUCCAUUUGUUUAGUACUUUUCCAAACAAUUAUUGCAAAGACUGUGUUCCUAGUCAUGUGUGGUCACAGAAGUCUCUGUUCUGUUAUCUCAGUGGUCAGCCAGUAACUUGACAGCUGACAGAGAUUUCCUUAAUGCCUGGAGUCAAGAGAAAACAAAAACAAAGACAAACUGAUCUUCCUCAACACACACACACACACACACACACACACACACACACACACACACACACACCCCUCCCCCUAUCUUUGCAGAUUGGUUCUGAGCUGGAGCACUCCUUCAACACUAAGCCAGGCUGCAUAUAACUCUGCCUUUUGCUUUACUUCUUACUUGCAUGAAGCCCACAGAUUAGCCAGAGGUGCAAGCCUGUGGCCCUCUCAGUUGUUUUCUGAACAUAGAGCAUACAUCUGGCCCUGGCCCUUUGUGCCAGUCCCUCACAGAACUGCCAGUUAGGUCAAAAUUCACAAGCAUGGUUUUUUGAGAACCAAGUCUGUAUUGCCUCCUUGGCAUCAGCAAUUCUCACUGGUAACGUGAGCCUCUGUCCAGACAGCCACCACUAAGCUGGAGAAUGAAGGAUGGUAGGCAGGUGAGCAAAAAUGCUACAAAGCUUUCUUAUUGAAAUUUAUAGUCUUUUUCUUCAUUAAGCACUCACUUGGUUGCUGUAAGCUUUUUUAGAUUUCAGAGUUCUAAAAUAGUUGAUUCUAUCAGUUUUUACCAGCUUAAUGAUUGGUUCAGUUGAGGCACUAAUUACUUGAGCUUUCAACUUCUUCAUUUUCCAUGACAUCUUAGUGCAAUUUAAUGGAAGAAUAGAUUUUUCAAUAAAUGGUGCUGAGAAACUGGUUGUCCACAUGCAAAAGAACAAAGGUGGAUCCUUAUCUCACAUCACGUACAGCUCGGAAUUGAAAGAAAACCUAAUGUAAUAACUAAAGCUAUGAAAUCUGGGAAGAAAAUAUGGGAGUAAAUCUUUGUGACCCUGGAUUUGGCAAUGUAUUCUUACCAUGACAUGAAAAGCACAAGCAACAACAACAAAAAAUAGAUGAAUGUGGCUUCAUAAAAAUGGAACACUUUUGUGUUUCAAUGGAUACUAUCACAAAAGAAAAGAUAACCCACAGAAUGGGAGAAGAUAUUUACAAAUCAUAUAUCUGAUGAGGGAUUUGUCUGUAGAAUAUGUAAGGAAUUCUUACAACUUAGUAAUUAAAAAGACAAAUAAUACAAUUAUAAAACAGAUCAGGAACCUGAACAGACAGUUCUCCAAAGAAAAUAUACAAAUGGCCUACAAGCACAUAAAAGAUGCUCAACAUUAUUAGUCAUUAGGGAAAUGCAAAUCAAAACCAGAAUGAGAUACCAUGCCAUACCAACUAAAAUGAUUAUAAUCAAACUAGGAAUAGCAACUGCUAGCAAGAAUGUGGAGAAAUUGGAACCCUCAUACAUUGCUGGUGCAGUGCAAAAUGGUAGAGCCACUUUGGAAAAUGAUCUGGCAGUUCCUCAAAAAGUUAAACAUACACCUAUCAUUAGACUCAUCAAUUCUACUCCUAGGUAUAUACUCAAGAGAACUGAAAACAUAUGUCCACAAAAAAAUUUGUGUACAAGUGUCUUUAGUGGCCUUAUUCAUGGUAGCCAAAAGGUGAAAAUAAUCUAAAUUUCCAUCAGCGAUGAGUGGAUAAACAAAAUAUGGUAUUCUACACAACAGAAUAUUUUUGACUAUAAACAAGAAUAAUAUAUUGAUAUAUAACAUAGACGAAUCUUUAAAACAUUACACUAAGUGAAGUAAGCCAGCCACAAAAAUACUACAUAUUAUAUUGUCCCACUUAUACAAAAUGUCUAGAAUAGGCAAAUGUGUAGAGAUGGAAAGUAGAUCAGUGGUUGCCAAGCCUGAAUAAGAUGAAGAGUUUUAGAGAUAAUAACUAAAGUGUACAGGUCUUUCCUCAUUUUCUGGUGAGGAAAGUAUUCAAAAAUUAAUUGUGGUUAUGGCUUCACAAUUCUGUGACUAUACUAAAAGUCAUUAAAUUCUGUACUUUAAGUGCGUAGAUUAUAUGCCAAAUGAAUGAUAUUUCAAUAAAGUUAGUAAAAAAAUAGAUUAUAAACCCUUGAAUAAAUUAGGGAACCAUGAGUCCAUACUGAUGUACGUGAAAGAAUGGAUAAAUUGACACUUUGAUGCGCAAUAGGGCACUUUUAAAUUUCAAAGUACCUCCAUAGAAUCAAUCUAGAAAACUCAUCCUCAAGAUUCUCUUCUGCCUAAACCAUUCCCAGUACCAAAAUCUUUAUGAGUCAGAUAAGUCAGGGUUCUACAGAGAGACAGAACCAAAAGGAUUAUAAAUAGAUGAAAAAUAUAAAUUUUACAUACAAUUAAUUAAUUAUUAAUAUGUUCUACAAAGAUACUAAGAUUUAUUUCAAGGGAUUGGCUCAUGUGAUUGAGGGGCUGGCAAGUCCAAAAUACAUAGGACAGCCCAGCUGGCUGGAAAAUCAGGUAGGAGAUGAUGCUGCUGUCUUGAGGCAGAUGUUUUUCUUCUUCAGCUGUUGCUCUUAAGGCCUUUCUACUGAUUGAAUGGGUCCCACCUUCGUUAUCUAGGGUAAUCUCC